This 311-nucleotide long non-coding RNA is filed under the name Capsicum annuum. Its description in RNAcentral is "long non-coding RNA (CANN_LNC017625)". Lineage: Eukaryota; Viridiplantae; Streptophyta; Magnoliopsida; Solanales; Solanaceae. The record is from RNAcentral.
CACACCUACGGACCGGGGCCUCCAUGCCCCUCCUUUUGACGUGUUCGAACCAUCUCAAUCGUGCUUCCCGCAUCUUACACUCCACUGAAGUCACACCAACCUUCUCCCGGAUAGUCUCAUUCCGAACUCUAUCCCCUCGGGUCAGUCCACACAUCCAGCGCAACAUCCGCAUUUCUGCCACCUUCAUUUUUUGGAUGUGGGAGUUCUUAACUGGCCAACACUCCGCUCCAUACAGCAAGGCCGGACGGACUACCACCCUAUAGAAUUUGCCUUUAAGCUUGGGCGGCACCUUCUUAUCACACAGCACCCCC